AAAAUGCGAUAAUUGGUGUGAAUUGCAGAAUCCCGUGAACCAUCGAGUUUUUGAACGCACGUUGCGCCCGAAGCCAUCCGGCUGAGGGCACGCCUGCCUGGGCGUCACGCAUCGCGUCGCUCCCCACCAUACCUCCCCAACGGGUUGGCAUCGUGUUGGGGGCGGAUAAUGGCCUCCCGUGCUUGUGUUUCGGUUGGCCUAAAUAAGAGUUCCCUUCGGCGGACACACGACUAGUGGUGGUUGAAUAGACCCUCGUCUUUUGUUGCGUGUCGUGAGCUGUAAGGGUAGCCCUCAUCAAAGACCCCAUUGUAUCGUCUUCGGAUGAUGCUUCGACCGCGACCCCAGGUCAGGCGGGACUACCCGCUGAGUUUAAGC
This 375-nucleotide unclassified non-coding RNA is filed under the name plant metagenome. Its description in RNAcentral is "partial contains 5.8S ribosomal RNA, internal transcribed spacer 2, and large subunit ribosomal RNA". The stretch from base 1 to 107 matches the Rfam family "5.8S ribosomal RNA", at positions 50 to 154 of the family's 154-position model. The record is from RNAcentral.